AACGCGCAGAACCUUACCAGCGUUUGACAUCCUCAUCGCGUUUUCCAGAGAUGGAUUACUUCAGUUCGGCUGGAUGAGUGACAGGUGCUGCAUGGCUGUCGUCAGCUCGUGUCGUGAGAUGUUGGGUUAAGUCCCGCAACGAGCGCAACCCUCGCCUUUAGUUGCCAUCAUUUAGUUGGGUACUCUAAAGGAACCGCCGGUGAUAAGCCGGAGGAAGGUGGGGAUGACGUCAAGUCCUCAUGGCCCUUACACGCUGGGCUACACACGUGCUACAAUGGCGACUACAGUGGGCAGCGACCUCGCGAGGGGAAGCUAAUCUCCAAAAGUCGUCUCAGUUCGGAUUGUUCUCUGCAACUCGAGAGCAUGAAGGCGGAAUCGCUAGUAAUCGCGGAUCAGCACGCCGCGGUGAAUACGUUCCCAGGCCUUGUACACACCGCCCGUCACACCAUGGGAGUUGGAUUCACCCGAAGGCGUUGCGCUAACCCCGUAAAGGGAGGCAGGCGACNNA
This 508-nucleotide ribosomal RNA is filed under the name alpha proteobacterium ZHB23. RNAcentral describes it as "bacterial SSU rRNA". It matches the Rfam family "Bacterial small subunit ribosomal RNA", at positions 958 to 1460 of the family's 1533-position model. The record is from RNAcentral. Lineage: Bacteria; Pseudomonadati; Pseudomonadota; Alphaproteobacteria.